Molecule: ribosomal RNA, 393 nt
Filed under: Bellamya robertsoni
Lineage: Eukaryota; Metazoa; Mollusca; Gastropoda; Architaenioglossa; Viviparidae
Description: SSU rRNA
Rfam family: Eukaryotic small subunit ribosomal RNA
Source: RNAcentral
UGCUUGUCUCAAAGAUUAAGCCAUGCAUGUCUAAGUUCACACCCUCGUACGGUGAAACCGCGAAUGGCUCAUUAAAUCAGUCGAGGUUCCUUAGAUGAUCCAUUUCUACUUGGAUAACUGUGGUAAUUCUAGAGCUAAUACAUGCCCAACAGCUCCGACCCCGGGCUUCGCGGUUCGGGGAAAGAGCGCUUUUAUUAGUUCAAAACCAGUCGGGGGUUUCGGCCCUCGUGCUUUGGUGACUCUGGAUAACUUUGAGCCGAUCGCAUGGCCUCGAGCCGGCGACGCAUCUUUCAAAUGUCUGCCCUAUCAAAUGACGACGGUACGUGAUCUGCCUACCGUGUUGACUACGGGUAGCGGGGAAUCAGGGUUCGAUUCCGGAGAGGGAGCAUGAGA